Uranotaenia lowii is the source of this 1403-nucleotide long non-coding RNA. RefSeq lists it as uncharacterized. Lineage: Eukaryota; Metazoa; Arthropoda; Insecta; Diptera; Culicidae. The transcript is spliced from 3 exons. The record is from RefSeq and is a predicted model, not a curated record.
GAGAUUUGGUUCCGUAGACUCCUCGGAUCAAAGUAGGUGGUAUGUAAUUCUAAAUCUCCAAGGGUUUCGCAGCAUCACCAAAAAUUAAACAACUGCGCUGAGCAAGUUUUAAAGGAGCUAGUAACGGUGACGUACAGGAAUUUCCACCAGUAAUGGACUGUAAAUUCACGAAAGUGUAAUUGAGCCGCACUCCAAUAUAUUUUAUAACAGGCGUCACGCACCCGAUGCUCACAUUGUCAGCUGGAUUGGAGUUAACAAACAAAAUAACCCUGUUGAUAGUUUCACAAUUAAAAGGUUUUCUAUUCAUUCUGAAAUGAACAACAAUCAUCGAAUGUUGGAAGUACCAAAAAAACCUUUUCAGGCGGAACAGCAAUACCAAAUCAGAAGUUUGGUUUGAAUGGAAUCGAACCAAGCUGGGGGGAGUCGAUACGAUGUUUGGAAAGUUAUCUGAAAAGGCCGAUACAAAACAUUCGAUCGUUUAACUCUGGCGGUAGAUCUCUAAAUAUGGCUGCGUUUGUUUCGCUGUAUUUCAUUAACAGAAGUUCAAAAGAAACAGGACUGAGCUGGAUCCAGAUGAUGAUAUUUAAUCUCCCAAGCUAAAGGAACUAGCUUUUCAAUGCAGCAGCCAAAAUGAGGAAAUUGUCGCUUAGGUGGGCUUUACUUAAAAGCCAAUUUUGUUUGAAUGGCAGUAACUAUUUUUGUGUAUACAUUUAGGCAUUAUGCGAAAGAUAAUUUAAAUUGUAAAUUGAAGAUUUAGGUAGUAAGGGUAUGAAAAUAAGAUUAUUAGCAAAUUAGUAUCAUUUAAAUCAUUCAAAUAACGAUAGUUCUAGAUACGUCGUUAUAAUGUACAAACAAAGCAGAGUAAUAUUUUGAAAAAGGGAAGGAAAAAACAAAACAAAUUUUGUGGGAGCUGAAAACUGUUGAAUUUAAAACGCCGUUGUCUAAAAACAGUGAAUUCGGCUGUUGUAGAAUCGUUACUGAAAUGUCGGUAUUUUACCAAAAUUGCUACUUAAUCUCAUUUAACGUAACACGAUUGUGCUUUUUUUUUAUAUAAAUUCAGGCGUUUAGCUCCACGGACUAGUCAUGGGUCGGCCGUGGUUCAGUUUUUAUAUCGUUAUAGUCGCCUUAGAUUACGGUUAUUUUAAGCCCGAAGAAUAAACCUCUACACACUGCUGAUGCGGCAUCUGAUUCAAAAAGUCGUGUAAGAAUGAAAUCUUAAAUAUUUUAUCUUAAACCUUACACAUCAUGCAGAUCAUUCAAUAUGGAUUUUAGUUUACCAUUAAACAUUUUUCUCAAACUGCAUUUCAGAUGGGUUGGUUUUACCUAAGCUUGGUUAAAUGCAAGAUUACUUUGAAACUAGGCAUCAACAAAUGUUAAAUCUGAAUCACUGAAUAUUGUUUUUU